This is a long non-coding RNA of Carassius gibelio (silver crucian carp), 1026 nucleotides long. RefSeq lists it as uncharacterized. The record is from RefSeq and is a predicted model, not a curated record. Lineage: Eukaryota; Metazoa; Chordata; Actinopteri; Cypriniformes; Cyprinidae. The transcript is spliced from 5 exons.
UGAUAGUUUGUCUCUUUUAUCAAACAUUCCUGCUGUUAUAAUUUGUACAGCAUUUGUUGUUUCUUAAACUGUUGCACUGUCCAAAUACCCACACUUGCCAUCUUUGCACUUGACCACUUGAUUACUUAUUUGAAGUCUUUCCUGUAUUUGGCCUAGUGUUCGAGUGAGCAUGAUAACCACAAGUGUGUGUCGAACUUUUCAUGACCUGAUGACUGUGUUUCCCAAUCCUGAUCCUGGAGAACCCCAGCACUGCACGGUUUUGGUGUCUCUCUUAUCUGCCUUGGAGUCUUCACUGAUGAGCUGAUGAGUUGAAUCAGGUCUAAAAUAUCAAGCUCAACAACUCACUCAAGAGCCAACCCUCACAAACCUUCCUAAAAACUAAAAGAGCUAUUACUGAGUCUCAGCGAAUCUUGCCAUGAUCAGCUCUUCCCAGAAGAGAAGGAAGACCAAGGAAAUGAUUUGCUCAGGAUGAGGAAUGAAGAUGGCCAUCUUGUGCUCAAACAAACAGAAGUCCACUGAUGAUCUCAUCAGCCAAAUGAGGGGUUUUGACCAAGUGAUGCUCUUGAAAGGAGUGAAAGAAGAGGAUGUGCUAAAUUCUCUUCAGAGAAAAAGCUUCUCAAAAGGUCUUAAAACAGCUUGAAGAAUGGUCUGGGAUCUUAGGACUGAGAGAUCCUCUGGCUGAGGACAAGCUACACCACAUCAGUGCUGGAUAUCAACCACAAACUGUUUCCAGACACGAGAGAAGAAGAACACGAUGGGGAGAUGAAACCAGUUUAGAUGUGAUGAUGGGAAUCAUUAUUUUCUGGAACAGUAUCUCAUGUCUUAUAUGUAUCACAUGAUCUGUAUCACAGUUGACUGGAUGGGACUGUGUGACUUUUAAGGACAUUUCAUCACUCAUCUGUGUGAACUGAUUUAUAUAUGAGGUUAAUGUAUUUUUGAUGAUAAUUAUUUUCAUUGAAUCUUAUUCGUCUUGAUGCUACUUUAUCAACUUUAUAGUCUAUGCUUCAAUAAAAUGAAAAUGGUGAA